This 492-nucleotide ribosomal RNA is filed under the name uncultured bacterium. RNAcentral's name for it is "partial 16S ribosomal RNA". It matches the Rfam family "Bacterial small subunit ribosomal RNA", at positions 29 to 507 of the family's 1533-position model. The record is from RNAcentral.
AGUGAACGCUGGCGGUAGGCCUAACACAUGCAAGUCGAACGGCAGCACAGUAAGAGCUUGCUCUUACGGGUGGCGAGUGGCGGACGGGUGAGGAAUACAUCGGAAUCUACUUUUUCGUGGGGGAUAACGUAGGGAAACUUACGCUAAUACCGCAUACGACCUACGGGUGAAAGCAGGGGAUCUUCGGACCUUGCGCGAUUGAAUGAGCCGAUGUCGGAUUAGCUAGUUGGCGGGGUAAAGGCCCACCAAGGCGACGAUCCGUAGCUGGUCUGAGAGGAUGAUCAGCCACACUGGAACUGAGACACGGUCCAGACUCCUACGGGAGGCAGCAGUGGGGAAUAUUGGGCAAAGGGCGCAAGCCUGAUCCAGCCAUACCGCGUGAGUGAAGAAGGCCUUCGGGUUGUAAAGCCCUUUUGUUGGGAAAGAAAAGCAGCAGGUGAAUACCCCGCUGUUCUGACGGUACCCAAAGAAUAAGCACCGGCUAACUUCGUG